This 193-nucleotide ribosomal RNA is filed under the name uncultured bacterium. RNAcentral describes it as "partial 16S ribosomal RNA". It matches the Rfam family "Bacterial small subunit ribosomal RNA", at positions 1308 to 1500 of the family's 1533-position model. The record is from RNAcentral.
AAAUUCGCCUGUAUGAAGCCGGAAUUGCUAGUAAUGGCAGGUCAGCAUACUGCCGUGAAUACGUUCCCGGGCCUUGUACACACCGCCCGUCACACCAUGAGAGUUGGGGAUACCCAAAGCCCGUGAGCCAACUAUAAAGAGGCAGCGGUCUAAGGUAGAAUCAAUGAUUGGGGUGAAGUCGUAACAAGGUACC